GAUGAACGCUAGCGGGAGGCCUAACACAUGCAAGUCGAACGGGAUUGGUAGCAAUACCAUGAGAGUGGCGCACGGGUGAGUAACGCGUAUGCAACCUGCCUGUAACAGAGGGAUAGCCCAUAGAAAUGUGGAUUAAUACCUCAUAGUCCUGGGAAUCCGCAUGGUUUUCCAGGUAAAACUCCGGUGGUUACAGAUGGGCAUGCGUGACAUUAGCUAGUUGGUGAGGUAACGGCUCACCAAGGCAACGAUGUCUAGGGGUUCUGAGAGGAUGAUCCCCCACACUGGUACUGAGACACGGACCAGACUCCUACGGGAGGCAGCAGUGAGGAAUAUUGGUCAAUGGGCGCAAGCCUGAACCAGCCAUCCCGCGUGCAGGAUGACGGCCCUAUGGGUUGUAAACUGCUUUUAUACAGGAAGAAAAUCUCCACGUGUGGGGACUUGCCGGUACUGUAUGAAUAAGCAUCGGCUAACUCCGUGCCGGCAGCCG
This 487-nucleotide ribosomal RNA is filed under the name uncultured bacterium. RNAcentral describes it as "bacterial SSU rRNA". It matches the Rfam family "Bacterial small subunit ribosomal RNA", at positions 28 to 517 of the family's 1533-position model. The record is from RNAcentral.